AUGAACGCUGGCGGCGUGCUUAACACAUGCAAGUCGAACGGUGAAGGAGAGCUUGCUCUCCGGAUCAGUGGCGAACGGGUGAGUAACACGUGAGCAACCUGCCCCGGACUCUGGGAUAACAGCUGGAAACAGCUGCUAAUACUGGAUACGAGCUGCGAAGGCAUCUUCAGCAGCUGGAAAGAACUUCGGUCUGGGAUGGGCUCGCGGCCUAUCAGCUAGUUGGUGAGGUAAUGGCUCACCAAGGCGUCGACGGGUAGCCG
This 260-nucleotide ribosomal RNA is filed under the name Microbacterium sp. ISOM221_OTU131536. Its description in RNAcentral is "partial 16S ribosomal RNA". It matches the Rfam family "Bacterial small subunit ribosomal RNA", at positions 29 to 289 of the family's 1533-position model. Lineage: Bacteria; Bacillati; Actinomycetota; Actinomycetes; Micrococcales; Microbacteriaceae. The record is from RNAcentral. RNAcentral also lists the same sequence under 2 other names.